Molecule: long non-coding RNA, 533 nt
Organism: Anoplophora glabripennis (Asian longhorned beetle)
Lineage: Eukaryota; Metazoa; Arthropoda; Insecta; Coleoptera; Cerambycidae
Exons: 3
Source: RefSeq, a predicted model, not a curated record
UGCGAAGUCGUUAUCGCUCCGUCUUAUCACUAAGCCGGCCUCGUCGAUUAGAAAUAUUACCAAAUUACGUCGCUACGCCCCAACAAAGACAUUUCUAACAACCCCACGUUCGCUUCUGCACCUUUCCUUUGGGUUUUCCACGGGAAACUCCCGUAGAAGCGACUCCGAACACGCCUCGCCCUCUGUUUGUUGUUAGAUCUUAAGUGUUUACAGUGUAAGUUUACUGUUCGAUGUUAUUAGUGUUCGAUUAAGUACAAGUAAGGAUAGUUUAACUUUAGCUAAAACUAAUAUUUGACGUGUUGUUAAUUGUAGUUCGUAAGACUCUAUAAAGUACUUUUAUUGUGUGUGUAUGUAUGCGGAUAAUCCAGUUUAGGUUAUCUUAUCACAGCUACCGAGCAUUCAGCGGACAAACAGAUCGCUGUUUGGUUGCGUUGUAAUUUAAAUCCCCUGACUUGUGGACUGCUCUGGAAUCUGAAAUAAAGAUUCCUCAUAUUUCAUAAAGACAAGGACAAUAAUACUUAAAAAAAAGGUGA